RNAcentral lists this long non-coding RNA (833 nucleotides) under Numida meleagris (helmeted guineafowl). RNAcentral's name for it is "lncRNA (ENSNMEG00000017156.1)". Lineage: Eukaryota; Metazoa; Chordata; Aves; Galliformes; Numididae. The record is from RNAcentral.
CUCAGGGGUUUUAGCUCAGUUCUCCAGCCUGAUUAACCAAUAAUGUUUCUUUCAUGUCUGUUCGAGUAAUACUCUACUCCUUCCUGCAUCUGUGGGCUGCUGAGUGUGUUAGACUAAGCACAGAUGACACAAAUGCAACUUUUUGGACUUGAGUUUACACCUGCCAAGUUGGUGCACAAACACGGUGCUUGUAUGUGUACGCAAAAGUGUGUGUUGGUUUAUGCCCUGUAUGUAUGUAUGUGUUUUUGGCUGGCUGCGGGUUGGAUGCUCAGCCGUGAGUGGUCACUGAUUUCCUCCUCAGCUGGUUGUGCUCUACAGGUGGUGAUCCUGUAGCACAGAUGUUAAGGGUUCUAGAAUUACUGGAAGUAGGGAGGAGAAAGGCUUGUUUGGGUACCCACUACAAGAUUGGAGAAGGGCUACCUGUCUCUGAAGAAGAUCAUGUGCUGUACAACAGGCAUUGCCACCUCCUGGCUGAGUUCUUCAGGCAGAAGCACAGAGCAAAUAUCACCUGCCGUUCCCCUGCUAUUUCAGUAGGUGCACUCUGGAUUCCUGUUGGUAGCUUGCAGAGGUGCUUCUGGUUGCACAUUUGAAGCCUGUAAGUUUCGUAAGUAGCUGUCACCCUACAGAAGUGUGUUCAGCCCUGCUGCAAAGAAUUAUGUGUGUUUGGGGUUUUUCUGCUCACAAGGUUUUUCCAGUUUUUCGGUCAGGCUUCCAUCCCAGAUGUGCAGUCAGUGGUGUAUCUCCUCUUGCUUCACCUUGGAAGUGAAGUAGGGGAAAUGGUACAUUUUCAAAAUAAUUUACAGCGAUUAUUAUGUUUUUUUUUUUAAGACUAG